Molecule: small nucleolar RNA, 234 nt
Filed under: Purpureocillium lilacinum
Lineage: Eukaryota; Fungi; Ascomycota; Sordariomycetes; Hypocreales; Ophiocordycipitaceae
Description: Small nucleolar RNA snR191
Rfam family: Small nucleolar RNA snR191
Source: Rfam by way of RNAcentral
UCCCAAUGCUUUUUGUCAGGACGCCUUCCUUCAUUUUCUUCAUGAAGGUCGUCUGUUACGGCAUUGGGAGAUUGAAUUUGCCAUUCUCGACUGCCCUAGCACCCGUGCUGGUGGCUGAUGGGUGCCGUUUUGGUCACUAUCGUGAGAUGGCACGUGUGUCGAAUGAGUUGAGGUCUACCACUGUCUAUACACGACGAUCCCACUGGUGACUUCUUAGUUACGACUCGUACAUAU